This 1032-nucleotide long non-coding RNA is filed under the name Struthio camelus australis. RNAcentral's name for it is "lncRNA (ENSSCUG00000008064.1)". The record is from RNAcentral. Lineage: Eukaryota; Metazoa; Chordata; Aves; Struthioniformes; Struthionidae.
AACAUUUUGGUAUGGCUAGGAGACAAUACUGACCUACUAGUUGGGACGACUCUAGCUCAAUGAAGUUAUGAAACUUGUUUUUUCCUACAGGUCUGGGAGUUAAUGGAUUAAAGGAAUUAAAGAUAGUUUAAAAGACUGUCUAGAAGGGAGGCAGCUGUAUUGGGUAGCUAUUUGUGGGAGUAGAUCCCUGACAAGUUGUGUGAGGAAGUUAAGCCUCCUUGGAUUUCACUAGAAGAUGCUAACUUCAAGAGUUUCCAUGAAAUAAGUUGAAUCGUUUGUACUGUGGACUGUUUUCACUAGUCAGUCUUGAUUAUACAAUUUGAGGAGCAGCGUGGGAGAAAUAUGCAUAUCUGUAUGAACGAUUGACAUACAUAGUACUAAAACCCAUGGGGCCGAGAGGGAGUCCUCUCCAGUGAAACUGGGAUCGGCGCAAAGAAUUUAGGAAAAUAUCAUCAGACGUAUCAGCCGCUGGUGUUUACCUUCAGUCUCAGGAAUUUGUGUCCUUCUCCCUUCAUCUCAAGUUGCUAAGUUUGUUUCCAGAGAAAGAGCAAGCUGCCUGCCUUGUGGACCUUUUCUACCCUGAGCAGCCACAGAAAGGAAAAGCUGUCUCAUAGCCCAGACUGGUCUAAUCUCUGAAAGUUCUGGAGAUGUCAUUAAGUUAAUCAUUUAACCACUGUAAAAAUGUUGCUGUGUAAAUGUUAUAAUGUUUAUGAUCUUUCGUAGUCAUGACUUCUGUCCUUGCUGCGUUGAAAAAUGUUUGAAAAAUUGAAAAAUGUUUUUACAUGAAGGCUUUUAUGUCUUUCUAAUGUACACAGGCAAAGCAGUUUAAUACAAUAAUGUCUAAAGAUAACUUUGCAUAAAUAUUUAGGUACCAGACUUGCUUUUUCCCAUGGGAAAUAGGCAUGUGAAUGCCUUUGAAGAUCUUGACCUUACGAUCAUCUAAGAAGGUCUAGGCAUUGUACAAACUUACAAUAAGAGACAGUUACUGCUUUCUACUGUUUGAAUAAACCAGCUGGAUAAAGGUUAGUGGCA